Impatiens glandulifera is the source of this 942-nucleotide long non-coding RNA. RefSeq lists it as uncharacterized. The transcript is spliced from 2 exons. NCBI's taxonomy places the organism in Eukaryota, Viridiplantae, Streptophyta, Magnoliopsida, Ericales, Balsaminaceae. The record is from RefSeq and is a predicted model, not a curated record.
UUCUGUAUUGUCAUUUUCUUGAUCAUUCUCAACAGAUCUACUCAUAUUCAAGUUAUUACUGUUUGAUUAUAGAUUAUAGAAUCGAUAAUUUUCUAUUCAAAUUUCAAUUGAUGUCAGUGAUGACAAUCCAAAGGCUUGUUUCUCAAAACAUUCGCAGUGGCCGCCUGAUAUAGCUUUCGCCUUCGCCAGGCUUGAGAGCUGAUGUUGCUUUUAUCUUCCUUGGAUGUCUGAGACCCUUCCAGAUGCUAUCAUUCUUAUCAGAUCUACACAGAUUGGCCGCCCAAGAGCUUUCGCCUUAGCCGGGCUUGAGAGCUAAUGCUGUUUUAUCCUUCCUUGGAUGUCUGAGUCAAUUUCAUGUUUAUUGAUUUUUCUUUGGGACUGUAAACGUUUUCCUUCAGCAUAAAUAUCAUUGCUUUAGGAAUGAAUGAUGUCCCUUACAUACAAAUAUCAUUUUCACUUUGUUAGCAAAUCUUGUUCAAUGUUUUGCUGAUCAUUAUACGAUGAAACAGUUCAUUUUAUUAAAUUAUACGAUGAAACAGUUCAUUUUAUUAAAAUAGUUUUCUUGACUGUUGGUGAUGAUAAAGUUGAAGGCUUGUUUCUCAAUACAUUCACAGUGGCCGCCUAAGAGUUUUCGCCUUAGCCGGGCUUGAGAGCUAAUGCUGCAUUAUCCUUCCUUGGAUGUCUGAAACAGUUUUAUUAUUAUUAUUAUGUAGUUUUUUUGAUGACCAUGUUGAUUUGGAGCGGACUUCUGUUUAGUGUUCGUAUAUUCCUCACAUUGCCAUCACAUAUUGAGCCUCCUGUUGAUUUAAUGAAUGGUUGAGAUUCUUUCUCUCUGGAGAUUGAGUUUCCUGUUCUUCAAGCAGGAGAGCUAUCUCAUAUCCUAUUGCCUUGAGGAGCAGAUUUCUGCCAUUACCUUUUGGGAUUUGCCAUGAGAAUAACAUU